GGGGGCUGCUGCAGCCACUGCCGCCGGCCCGAGGCAGGUCCCAGCCUGCUCCGUCCUUUAGGAAGAGCUGCGGCUCCCUACCUGCGUCGGCUAGCAACGCCAGGCAAUGCCUUGGGGGCGCAGCUGGGGCGCGGAGCACGGGGCGCGCCCUGCGGCUGCUGCUGGCGUCCCACGGCGGGUUCGCGGGCCGGGCUGAGCCGCAGCGGGCGUCAGGCACCAGGGCCCAGCGCGUCUUCUCCUUGCAGGAACAGAAACACAUUUUCAUUUUUCUCAUGAACUUCUGCAGAGAACAAACAAUUGUGGUAAUCUGCCAAAAGAACAAGCUGUGAAAUGAUUUCUCUUAAAUGAUGUACCUGUUCUGCCAAAGUAACUGGAAUUCUUCUGAAUUAUGUCCAUCUUUUCAACGCAGACGAAUUAAAAAAUCUAAGGCUCAGUCCUCUAAGGACCAAGAUACUGGCCAUGAUCCAGGAAAUCAUCUCUAUUGAGGAAAAGCAUUUAAUCAUAUGUUUUAACUUUAUUGACUUCUAUGGGAGAUAAGCACAUCCUGAAUAGAGCCCUAUUGGGACUGUUCACUGCUUAAUCGCAUGCUGAAGUGUUCUGCAGGAUUGGGCCCCAGAAUGUCUUGCAUUUUGUAGAAUGAAGACACCAAAUAUAAUGAUCUAGUUUGACAAUUUAUUUUACAUUUUAAUAGGUCUGUAUGUGAAUACACUUUGUACUUGAAGACAAUUCAUGUAUCUCUUAAGAAUGAUCUUAAUACAAUGGCUGAGAGGAAUAGUUCAGAAUUAACUAAGAAAAAGGUUGGUAUAUACACCACAGCACAGAAAUAACUUAUGUCUUGGAAUAAUAACUUACCUCUAGAUUAAUAAAUGUAAAGACUGGAGAAGCAUACUAUAGAAACAAGUUUGAAAAGUAAUAAAUAUUUCAGAGGUUUAAAUGCUAAAAGGAGUCUAAUUAAUAAUGGGAAAGGUACCAAAACAAUUCUGCAACACUGUAUUGAUUUUUAAGUCUUCUGUGAAAGGGAACUGCAUGUCAUUACUAGGCUAGAUGGGAGAGCCUUGAAAAAGAUAAAGGCUUUAUGUUCUUCCAAAUAUUCAGUAUUAAAGGUUAAACUCACCUACUAUAUUUAUUCUUCGGAAGCCACGGUGCCACUCGGUAUAUAAGGAAGAGCUCUUUCAAUAGCUAAGCAACAAGUCUCUAAUUUCUCUGUUUCGGUCUAACCAUUAGACAGGUUACAUCUGCAGUGUGUUUCAUGGUUUCUGAAAAAUAAAGGUCCUCUCUGACUUCCAAUAUACAGACAAAUCCAAAUUUAAAUAAAUUCUAUUUUUAAACUUUUAUUCAGCU
This 1341-nucleotide long non-coding RNA is filed under the name Gopherus evgoodei (Goodes thornscrub tortoise). Its description in RNAcentral is "lncRNA (ENSGEVG00005003762.1)". Lineage: Eukaryota; Metazoa; Chordata; Testudines; Testudinidae. The record is from RNAcentral.